Molecule: ribosomal RNA, 435 nt
Filed under: uncultured bacterium
Lineage: Bacteria
Description: bacterial SSU rRNA
Rfam family: Bacterial small subunit ribosomal RNA
Source: RNAcentral
AACGCGAAGAACCUUACCUGGCCUUGACAUCCAGAGAACUUUCCAGAGAUGGAUUGGCGCCUUCGGGAACUCUGGGACAGGUGCUGCAUGGCCGUCGUCAGCUCGUGUCGUGAGAUGUUGGGUUAAGUCCCGUAACGAGCGCAACCCCUAUCCCUGGUUGCUAGCAGGUAAUGCUGAGAACUCCAGGGAGACUGCCGGUGACAAACCGGAGGAAGGUGGGGAUGACGUCAGGUCAUCAUGGCCCUUACGGCCAGGGCUACACACGUGCUACAAUGGCGCGUACAGAGGGCUGCCAACUCGCGAGAGUGAGCCAAUCCCUUAAAACGCGUCGUAGUCCGGAUCGGAGUCUGCAACUCGACUCCGUGAAGUCGGAAUCGCUAGUAAUCGCGAAUCAGAAUGUCGCGGUGAAUACGUUCCCGGGUCUUGUACACACCG